Molecule: ribosomal RNA, 250 nt
Filed under: uncultured bacterium
Lineage: Bacteria
Description: partial 16S ribosomal RNA
Rfam family: Bacterial small subunit ribosomal RNA
Source: RNAcentral
GGGUGGCGAGCGGCGGACGGGUGAGUAAUGCCUAGGAAAUUGCCCUGAUGUGGGGGAUAACCAUUGGAAACGAUGGCUAAUACCGCAUGAUGCCUACGGGCCAAAGAGGGGGACCUUCGGGCCUCUCGCGUCAGGAUAUGCCUAGGUGGGAUUAGCUAGUUGGUGAGGUAAUGGCUCACCAAGGCGACGAUCCCUAGCUGGUCUGAGAGGAUGAUCAGCCACACUGGAACUGAGACACGGUCCAGACUCC